UACGAAGGGUGCAAGCGUUACUCGGCAUUACUGGGCGUAAAGCGUGCGUAGGCGGUGAUUUAAGUCUGAUGUGAAAUCCCCGGGCUCAACCUGGGAAUGGCAUUGGAAACUGGGUCGCUAGAGUACGGUAGAGGGUGGUGGAAUUCCCGGUGUAGCAGUGAAAUGCGUAGAGAUCGGGAGGAACAUCUGUGGCGAAGGCGGCCACCUGGACCAGUACUGACGCUGAGGCACGAAAGCGUGGGGAGCAAACAGG
This 253-nucleotide ribosomal RNA is filed under the name uncultured bacterium. Its description in RNAcentral is "partial 16S ribosomal RNA". It matches the Rfam family "Bacterial small subunit ribosomal RNA", at positions 524 to 776 of the family's 1533-position model. The record is from RNAcentral.